Molecule: unclassified non-coding RNA, 301 nt
Filed under: uncultured Lindgomyces
Lineage: Eukaryota; Fungi; Ascomycota; Dothideomycetes; Pleosporales; Lindgomycetaceae
Description: sequence contains ITS1
Rfam family: 5.8S ribosomal RNA (bases 1-105)
Source: RNAcentral
GAAAUGCGAUAAGUAGUGUGAAUUGCAGAAUUCAGUGAAUCAUCGAAUCUUUGAACGCACAUUGCGCCCUUUGGUAUUCCAUAGGGCAUGCCUGUUCGAGCGUCGUUUCAAACCUUCAAGCCUAGCUUGGUGUUGGGUGUUUGUCCCGUCUCGUGCGCGGACUCGCCUUAAAAUCAUUGGCGGCAGACAUCGUGGCUAAUUGCGCAGCAGAUACGCGCCUGACGCUGGAUGUCGGCUCUCCACGAGCAUAGCCUCUUUUCAGUUUGACCUCGGAUCAGGUAGGGAUACCCGCUGAACUUAA